CUGAUUUUCAGUACGAAUACGAA
Molecule: non-coding RNA, 23 nt
Filed under: Arabidopsis thaliana (thale cress)
Lineage: Eukaryota; Viridiplantae; Streptophyta; Magnoliopsida; Brassicales; Brassicaceae
Source: RNAcentral